Long non-coding RNA from Thalassophryne amazonica, 1101 nucleotides. RefSeq lists it as uncharacterized. The transcript has 3 exons. The record is from RefSeq and is a predicted model, not a curated record. Lineage: Eukaryota; Metazoa; Chordata; Actinopteri; Batrachoidiformes; Batrachoididae.
CCUACAGCACUUCAUUUCAUUAUAAAUGGCCCGACUAAUGUCCUCCAGUGCUUCUGAUGGACAUGUGCAAUGUUAGUUAGUGUUAAUAUUGGCAACGCCUAGAAAUGUAUUCUACUCAUUUGUAACUACUGUGAAAUUGAUACUGCUGCUUUUUGGAUGACCUAUAAAUGGCAAGUUUCUACAAGGGACAAAUUUGGAAAAUGCUGAGAUGUUGUUGAAAACCAUACCAAAGUACUACUUUUGUUAUAAUAUUCAGCAAAAAAAAAAAAGUAUAACUUGACCCAUUUGCAAUCAGUGUUGAUAAGGCUACUUUUACAAAUAUAAUGGGUUACAGAUUACUAGUUAAAAGGUUAAAAAAUGUAACAUGUAAGUAAUGCAAUUGUUUUAAAGAUUCUUCAGAGUAAUGUAACUUAUUAUUUUGGUUAUUUUUCUAACAAAUAUUAUAAACUGGACAAUAAAGCUGAAAAAUCAUUUAACUUAAACCUAGCAGUGGAGCCCUCACAACGACUAUUAUUGCAUUGUCAUCUGCAGAGAACAUCUGCUGCUCCCCAGCAUCUCCCAGUUCUCCUCUUUUCUGUUCCCCAAGCAACAACAUUCCAAACAAUCCCAUUGUGACAAAGCUGACCCGAUUGUGGAGUGAAUUCACUUGAUUUCGCGUCAAGUUUGCUGGGUGUUACAAUUCCCUCACUUCAGUUAUAGGGUAUUGCACGUGUCACGUGGAUUUUGAACAAUUCAAAGUUGGCGAGGUAACAGAGGUCCUUGCCACACACUCGCAAAGCCCUUGGAAUGUAGUCUCCAUGACUCAUAUUGUGCAAGAAUUGUGAGAGAACCUUGUGAGGGGUUGGAGAGCCAUGAAACUAUAUUGUGAGUGAUUUGAGGAAAAAUAUGACAAUCUGACAUUCUGGGUGUGAGACACACACGAGCUGCCCUGGGAGGCACCAACAGAGUGGAGAUGAUUGGAGAGGAACAGCACUUCUGGAAGUGGCCCAGCGUGUCUGGCAGCCCCACCUGUGCUGGCCGUGGCCUGGCAGUGCAUGCAGUUGCAGUGGGCUUCUGGAAUCCACUCCACGUGAUCUGGACUUAUACUUUAAAUUCUUUUUC